This 696-nucleotide long non-coding RNA is filed under the name Oncorhynchus kisutch (coho salmon). Its description in RNAcentral is "lncRNA (ENSOKIG00005028368.1)". Lineage: Eukaryota; Metazoa; Chordata; Actinopteri; Salmoniformes; Salmonidae. The record is from RNAcentral.
CGUCUCCCUCCAAACAUGAAGAAGACUUAAAGGAUGUGGAGAAUAUGUGAAAUCCUUUUCACUUUUCAAAGCAUCUCAGCAGAAGUUUCUAGUAGCUCCUUCUUCAGGCUUGUAUCCUUGGCUAGACAUCCCUUUGGCACUGUGUGUGUUGUCGUGGCUGAAUCAGAAUUAGCAUGGGUCUCCAGGUGUUUGUGGAGGCUGUCUUCUACCCGGCCCAGCGCAGGUUCAAGUCUCUCUGCUGGAGAUGUGUGAGGCUUAGCUGGAGAACCAGGGAGUAGGGGGUCCUGGAGGAUCUCUUCCUGAGAACAGCACCUGGUCCAGCAGGCGCUCUGUGAGCCACCCCAGACCAGGCCCUAUCAGAACCCCAGCUCUGCUCCCCGGCCAACCUGCGCAGGGCCUCCUCCCAGAACUACCAGCUGCAUCAGCGAUUACGACCCCCACACACACAAGGCCAAUGUAGAGAACUGACCUGACUCAGGCCUAAGAAGCUAUACUCCCACACACAGACCUCACAGAGGAGCACACAGACUGGCUCCCUCUCCACUGGAAGUCCUCCAGGGUGUCCUGUCAAGAGCAGACAGACAGAUUGUAGGGAGCUGACCUCAGAGGCUGACUUCCAGGACCUGUUCUGGGCUUGAUUUAUUUUCCUUGUGAAGAGGAGGAGGAGGGGGAGGAAGGUAGUGCAUAAGGUGGUUG